RNAcentral lists this long non-coding RNA (440 nucleotides) under Triticum aestivum (bread wheat). RNAcentral's name for it is "long non-coding RNA (TAES_LNC000493)". The record is from RNAcentral. Lineage: Eukaryota; Viridiplantae; Streptophyta; Magnoliopsida; Poales; Poaceae.
CGAUUUCUACCGCGGCGAGACCUCCGGGUUCCGGGGGCGGAUCUAGGGUGUGCCGGAUGCGCGCCGGCGCGCCUAAGAACUGCCGAGGUCAGUGUGGUGUAACGAAUCACUGGGUGAAAACAAGCUCGUGCCGUACCUCAGAGCCCAAUGGCUAGAGAUUGAGGGCGGGGUGGACUGGAGACAGCAGGGGCGCGAUGCCGCGGUGGGGAAGGGCGCGGACGGCGGUGGCGACGACGCGCGUGAGAGGCGGAGGGGAUUGUGGCGACGGGCGGUGGCGCUAAGCUACGGCGUACGGCGCGGCGGCGGGAGAGAUUUCAAGGCGGGCUGGGUCGGGUGGGUAGGUCGCCGUGGAGAGGAGGAGAAACGAAGGUAUGGGACUGUGGCAGAAGAAAUACAUAAACAGAAGUGGGAUAUGGCCUCUUUGUUCAACACAACACGGG